AACGCACAUUGCGCCCGCUAGUAUUCUGGCGGGCAUGCCUGUUCGAGCGUCAUUUCAACCCUCAAGCGCUGCUUGGUGUUGGGGUCCUACAGAGGUAGGCUCUGAAAAUCAGUGGCAGGCUCGCUAGACCUCUGAGCGUAGUAAAACCCUCGCUCUAGGGCGUAUAGCGGGCUUUAGCCGUGAAAAUUACCCAUGAUUAAAAGGUUGACCUCGGAUCAGGUAGGAAUACCCGCUGAACUUAA
RNAcentral lists this unclassified non-coding RNA (242 nucleotides) under uncultured fungus. RNAcentral describes it as "sequence contains ITS2". Lineage: Eukaryota; Fungi. The record is from RNAcentral.